This 744-nucleotide ribosomal RNA is filed under the name uncultured Actinomycetes bacterium. RNAcentral describes it as "bacterial SSU rRNA". It matches the Rfam family "Bacterial small subunit ribosomal RNA", at positions 56 to 812 of the family's 1533-position model. The record is from RNAcentral. Lineage: Bacteria; Bacillati; Actinomycetota; Actinomycetes.
UGCAGUCGAACGAUGAAGCUGGAGCUUGCUCCGGCCGAUUAGUGGCGAACGGGUGAGUAACACGUGAGCAAUCUGCCCUUGACUCUGGGAUAACUGCGGGAAACUGUAGCUAAUACCGGAUACUUUCCUCGCUGGGCAUCCAGCGGGGAAGAAAGAAUUUCGGUCAAGGAUGAGCUCGCGGCCUAUCAGCUAGUUGGUGAGGUAAAGGCUCACCAAGGCGACGACGGGUAGCCGGCCUGAGAGGGUGACCGGCCACACUGGAACUGAGACACGGUCCAGACUCCUACGGGAGGCAGCAGUGGGGAAUAUUGCACAAUGGGCGAAAGCCUGAUGCAGCAACGCCGCGUGAGGGAUGAAGGCCUUCGGGUUGUAAACCUCUUUUAGCAGGGAAGAAGCGAAAGUGACGGUACCUGCAGAAAAAGCACCGGCUAACUACGUGCCAGCAGCCGCGGUAAUACGUAGGGUGCAAGCGUUGUCCGGAAUUAUUGGGCGUAAAGAGCUCGUAGGCGGUUUGUCACGUCUGCUGUGAAAAUCCGAGGCUCAACCUCGGACUUGCAGUGGGUACGGGCAGGCUAGAGUGCGGUAGGGGAGAAGGGAAUUCCUGGUGUAGCGGUGGAAUGCGCAGAUAUCAGGAGGAACACCAAUGGCGAAGGCACUUCUCUGGGCCGUAACUGACGCUGAGGAGCGAAAGCGUGGGGAGCGAACAGGAUUAGAUACCCUGGUAGUCCACGCCGUAAACGGUGG